GCUCGUCUCCUGAUUCAACUGGCCAAGAGCCCUCGCUGUUCAGAGAGAUAAACAGACAAAUGGCUCUGGACAUGAAGUUUUGGCAUACCAGGGUGCAGCAAGAAGGUUCAUCCUCUCUGUUGACCAGCAGCAGGAAAAGUUAUAAACAAACCUCUGAAAAUCUGCUGGAGCCAGUGAGCUCAGCCGACUUGAUCCACAAUUGGAAAUCAAAAUGAUUGUUUUCUAUUUUAUUCGAUUCAGCUGUUUAUCUCCAACAACCAUUCACCUUGUAUACACACUACAGACAGGUGUAAAUUUUCUAUGACAGGAUUUUUGGACUUUUUCGAGCAAAACCUUGAGUUUUGUUCAACUUUGUGUAGACUCAUCUCGGCAUUCGUCGAAUCAUUUUUGCCUUUUUUUACCUCUACUCUGUUCUUUGGUCGAUUCCUGCUGUACUGGACAACCUCAGACACUCUACUGGUUUAUAACAGAGCUAUUUGGACAUGGAACUGAGAGACAAAACUUACCUGGGACAAAAUGUCUUCUUCAGUGUUUGGUGACUUUUUUUGGACAAAGGGCCAAGGUUUGACCUUCUAUUUGAAGACGCAGGGGGAAACAAAAUGGACUAAACCUCUGAGUGGAUGCUGAAUGUGUUUUAUGUGACAUCAUACAUAAUAAUUACUUAUAAUUAAAGUAAUAAUAUUCCAUAUAUUUAUAUUGUUAAAGCUGCAGCCCAGUGUGCAAUAUGUAAAUACAGAAAAAGGAUUAAAGAUAAUCAUUUGAUAUAUA
Pundamilia nyererei is the source of this 768-nucleotide long non-coding RNA. RefSeq lists it as uncharacterized. The record is from RefSeq and is a predicted model, not a curated record. The transcript is spliced from 2 exons. NCBI's taxonomy places the organism in Eukaryota, Metazoa, Chordata, Actinopteri, Cichliformes, Cichlidae.